UGGGGAAUAUUGGACAAUGGGCGGAAGCCUGAUCCAGCAACGCCGCGUGAGGGAUGACGGCCUUCGGGUUGUAAACCUCUUUCGCCUGUGACGAAGCGCAAGUGACGGUAACAGGUAAAGAAGCACCGGCCAACUACGUGCCAGCAGCCGCGGUAAUACGUAGGGUGCGAGCGUUGUCCGGAAUUAUUGGGCGUAAAGGGCUCGUAGGCGGUUUGUCGCGUCGGGAGUGAAAACCAGGUGCUUAACACCUGGCUUGCUUUCGAUACGGGCAGACUAGAGGUAUUCAGGGGAGAACGGAAUUCCUGGUGUAGCGGUGAAAUGCGCAGAUAUCAGGAGGAACACCGGUGGCGAAGGCGGUUCUCUGGGAAUGACCUGACGCUGAGGAGCGAAAGUGUGGGGAGCGAACAGG
This 409-nucleotide ribosomal RNA is filed under the name Bacillota bacterium. Its description in RNAcentral is "Firmicutes bacterium partial 16S ribosomal RNA". It matches the Rfam family "Bacterial small subunit ribosomal RNA", at positions 355 to 776 of the family's 1533-position model. The record is from RNAcentral. Lineage: Bacteria; Bacillati; Bacillota. RNAcentral also lists the same sequence under 2 other names.